CAGGUGUGGUUCAAUGGUAGAACACCAGCCUUCCAAGCUGGAUACGUGGGUUCGAUUCCCAUCACCUG
This 68-nucleotide transfer RNA is filed under the name mouse gut metagenome. It matches the Rfam family "tRNA". From Rfam's summary of the family: Transfer RNA (tRNA) molecules are approximately 80 nucleotides in length. Their secondary structure includes four short double-helical elements and three loops (D, anti-codon, and T loops). RNAcentral also lists the same sequence under 2 other names. The record is from RNAcentral.